GAUGAAGAACGCAGCGAAAUGCGAUAAGUAAUGUGAAUUGCAGAAUUCAGUGAAUCAUCGAAUCUUUUAACGCACAUUGCGCCCGCCAGUAUUCUGGCGGGCAUGCCUGUUCGAGCGUCAUUUCAACCAUCAAGCCCCCGGCUUGUGUUGGGGACCUGCGGCUGCCGCAGGCCCUGAAAACCAGUGGCGGGCUCGCUAGUCACUCCGAGCGUAGUAAUACAUCUCGCUCAGGGCGUGCUGCGGGUUCCGGCCGUUAAAAAGCCUUAUUUACCCAAGGUUGACCUCGGAUCAGGUAGGAAGACCCGCUGAACUUAAGCAUAUCAAUAAGCGGAGGA
This 335-nucleotide unclassified non-coding RNA is filed under the name soil metagenome. Its description in RNAcentral is "partial contains 5.8S ribosomal RNA, internal transcribed spacer 2, and large subunit ribosomal RNA". The stretch from base 1 to 120 matches the Rfam family "5.8S ribosomal RNA", at positions 35 to 154 of the family's 154-position model. The record is from RNAcentral.